Molecule: ribosomal RNA, 119 nt
Filed under: Pteropus alecto (black flying fox)
Lineage: Eukaryota; Metazoa; Chordata; Mammalia; Chiroptera; Pteropodidae
Source: RNAcentral
GUCUACGGCCAUGCCACCCUGAACACGCCUGAUCCCGUCUGAUCUCAGAAGCCAAGCAGGGUCGAGCCUGGUUAGUACUUGGAUGGGAGACCACCAAGGAAGACCAGGUGCUGUAGGUG